This 777-nucleotide ribosomal RNA is filed under the name uncultured Neocallimastigales. RNAcentral's name for it is "partial large subunit ribosomal RNA". It matches the Rfam family "Eukaryotic large subunit ribosomal RNA", at positions 23 to 644 of the family's 3401-position model. Lineage: Eukaryota; Fungi; Neocallimastigomycota; Neocallimastigomycetes; Neocallimastigales. The record is from RNAcentral.
AGAGAGAGACAUGCGCGCAUAUCAAUAAGCGGAGGAAAAGAAACUAACAAGGAUUCCCUUAGUAACGGCGAGUGAAGCGGGAAGAGCUCAAAUUUGAAAUCUUCAAGGUUUUACCUUGACGAAUUGUAGUUUAUAGAAGUGUUUUCUGUUAGUGGAGUUGGUAAAAGUUCUUUGGAAUAGGACAUCAUAGAGGGUGAGAAUCCCGUAUUUGGUCAUUCCUCCUAGCGUUGUGAUACACUUUCAACGAGUCGGAUUGUUUGGGAAUGCAGUCCAAAAUGGGUGGUAAAUUUCAUCUAAAGCUAAAUAUUGGCGAGAGACCGAUAGCGAACAAGUACCGUGAGGGAAAGAUGAAAAGAACUUUGAAAAGAGAGUUAAACAGUACGUGAAAUUGUCAAAAGGGAAGCGUUUGACACCAGUGUUGUUUUUCCGAAAAUCAACUACGAAUGUUUUAUUUUUGAGGAGUUAUGACUUCAUCGGCUUGCUCCUUUCUUUAUGAAACUUUCUUAAUGCACUUUUCGGUUAACAAGUCAACAUCAAUUUCUUUUGUUGUAAAAGGGUAUGAGGAAGGUGGCUUUCUUUUCGGAGAAAGUGUUUAUAGCCUUGUGCCUCUGCAAUCGGAGAGAUUGAGGUCUGCAGCGUAGAUCCUUCGGGGUUAGAUACGUUUGUGCUAAGUUAUAGCUUUUCAUAGACAACUUGUUGACUAUGAUUAGUCAUUGUAGCUUACUCGCUUACUGCUAUUUUACCUACGCUUAGGAUGUUGAUAGUCACAGCGUGUAC